UUCUAUUAGCUAGACAUCUUAACUUAUGUAUUACAAUAACAUAUAUUCCAAUUUGGUUAUGGCUUAUUUAUAAGUUCAUAACAACAAUUUCUUAAUUUAUGAUUUUCAUUUCCUUAUGACUUAUUCGGCUUAGGUCCAUUGCUUAUCAACUUCUCCUAUGUUCUUAGCAUCUAAGUUCAUUAGAUUACACUUCUCUUAUCAACCUACCAUGAUAGAGAUGAAGAAGAUAAGAUCAUUUACCUUUGAUGAUUACUUCACUUCACUUUGCAAAAUCUAACAAAAGUUGAAAUGGCUUAUAAGUGCUUAUGGGUUCUAACAAAUAAGUUGCUUUGAGAGAGAGUUGUUGGAUGAAACAAAUCAACCAAAUAAUGAAAUGAGAGCUUUCUAUUUAUAGGCAACCCAAAGUUUGGGUAGAAUGGUCUUUAUGGCAUCCCACCUCCUUACUAUUCAUAACCUAGCAACCAAGUAAACUUGCUAGCCACUUCUACUUCUUGACCAUCACAACACUUGGUCACCACACAAUGUUCUUGCUCUCAAAGUUCACCCACGGGUUGCCCCAUGGAUCAUUGCUUUACCCAUUGGAUCAUCCUUUGGGCUUGGGUUUAGUUAAUUAUUCUAAUUAUUGUGGGCUUGCAUGCAUUUGGUUUGGGCUUCCCAUUAAUCCACCCUUGGCUAAUCAUUGCUACAACUUGGGCUUGUCCCUUAAUGCUUAGUG
RNAcentral lists this long non-coding RNA (715 nucleotides) under Panax ginseng (ginseng). Its description in RNAcentral is "long non-coding RNA (PGIN_LNC017331)". The record is from RNAcentral. Lineage: Eukaryota; Viridiplantae; Streptophyta; Magnoliopsida; Apiales; Araliaceae.